CGGAGGGGCUAGCGUUGUUCGGAAUUACUGGGCGUAAAGCGCACGUAGGCGGACCAGCAAGUUAGGGGUGAAAUCCCGGGGCUCAACCCCGGAACUGCCCUUAAAACUGCUGAUCUGGAGUUCGAGAGAGGUGAGUGGAAUUCCGAGUGUAGAGGUGAAAUUCGUAGAUAUUCGGAGGAACACCAGUGGCGAAGGCGGCUCACUGGCUCGAUACUGACGCUGAGGUGCGAAAAGCGUGGGGAGCAAACAGGAUU
RNAcentral lists this ribosomal RNA (254 nucleotides) under uncultured bacterium. RNAcentral's name for it is "partial 16S ribosomal RNA". It matches the Rfam family "Bacterial small subunit ribosomal RNA", at positions 527 to 779 of the family's 1533-position model. The record is from RNAcentral.